UACGGAGGGUGCGAGCGUUGUCCGGAAUCACUGGGCGUAAAGCGCACGUAGGCGGAUUUGUAAGUCAGGGGUGAAAUCCCGGGGCUCAACCUCGGAACUGCCUUUGAUACUGCAAAUCUCGAGUCCGGAAGAGGUGAGUGGAAUUCCUAGUGUAGAGGUGAAAUUCGUAGAUAUUAGGAAGAACACCAGUGGCGAAGGCGGCUCACUGGUCCGGUACUGACGCUGAGGUGCGAAAGCGUGGGGAGCAAACAGG
Molecule: ribosomal RNA, 253 nt
Filed under: uncultured bacterium
Lineage: Bacteria
Description: partial 16S ribosomal RNA
Rfam family: Bacterial small subunit ribosomal RNA
Source: RNAcentral